UCCUUCUCGCGCACUCACUAACGCAUCAUUUCCGGGUCAGGUGUUUGCCUGUGCAGAGCAGCGACCGAGUGCCCCGUGCUUUGUGCUCCAUGCUCCGUUUAGACCUUGGUUCUCUCUGGCGGUGGUAGAUGUCCGCUGCCGUGUGGGUCUCUCUCUCCCUCCCUCUCCCUGUGCAGGUUUGACUUUGAAAACAGGUAUGCUACCUUAAAUCUAACUCUCAAAAGCUUUGAUUAAUGUAGUUUAGCUAUGCUAAUGGUAUGUUUAUUGACAGGGAAUGCUCGUCAGCUGGCCGAAAUCUACAGGUGGCGAUUCACGUGCCUUCACCACCAGCUGAUUGGGACCGCUGCUGUUUUGUCUCUGUUUUGUCUCUGCCUUGUCGCUGCUUUGUCAGUGUUUUGUCUCUGCUUUGUCUACACUGAUUUAUUUACAUUGCUUUGUCCGCACCGCUUUGCCUCUGCCGUUAAACACACGGUUGCUGUGUUUAUACCGCUUUGUCGACUAUAUGUCUGCUGUUGUGCCCCUACUGCUAGCUGCAUAGCUGUGUCUCUGCUGCUGUAUGGACAUUGUCCCCUGCUUUGCCUCUGCAGUCACUUAUUCCUUGCUGCCGUGUUCUGCGGCUCUGGCUGCUUGGUGGCUUCUGGCUACAGCCGGCUUGCAUGGUGAACUGCAGACACCAUACUUUUAAUCUGUUUAUCUCUUUUUAUUUUAGCUGAACGAUGGUGAGGAGUUAAUCCCUUAUUUUUGUAUUACUUGUUUUGUUUAUUGUUUUGAUUAACUAGCUUGGUAAGCUUAUUUGGUUAACUAUUUCCUGCUUUAUGUUGUAUAUUGUUUUUAUUAUAUUAUUUAUAUUUUGUGUUAAUUACUUCCAUUGUAACUUUUGUUUUCCCUUCUCAGUGGCUGCAGGCUGGUGGUGGUGUCCCUCCUUCUUGUGUGCUGUGCUUCCUUGGAUUCGGUGAUACCACAGUGUGUGACUGCCACGUGUGUCUGGGUGAACCCUUUUUCUUUAAUUUAAUUUUGUUGAGUCCCCUUCACCUGCUCUUUCCCCACCAGUAGGCCUCAGCCCCUGAUUAGGCUCCCUUUUUCAUUUAUUGGGAUGAAUGCUAUUUUUUAUAAUGAUAGAGAUAGAUAUAGAGAUAGAUAUAGAGAUAGAUAUAGAUAGAUAUAGAUAGAUAGAGAUAGAGAUAGAGAUAGAUAGAGAUAGAUAGAGAUAGAUAGAGAUAGAUAGAGAUAGAGAUAGAGAUAGAUAUAGAUAGAGAGAGAGAGAUAGAGAGAUAGAGAUAUAGAGAGAGAGAUAGAGAGAGAGAGAGAGAGAGAGAGAGAGAGAGAGAUAGAGAGAGAUAGAUAGAUAUAAAAAAAAAAGUAUUUUUGUAAACUGUCUUGCCUGUCAAGUGGAACGAACCUGUGUUUUUGGUCAGUGUAAAAUAAUUCCUUGGGUGCAAUUCCCAAGGUGGCGUUGUCGUGCAACCUAAGAUUCCCAUUGAGAGCUCCACAUUUUCUUGCAACCCCCGCCACACUAGCUAGCUAGAGCUAGCACACAUAAACAAAUUAACCAAAGCUAGCGCUUAGCUACAUGCUAAUCGCUCCUGAAGGAGUGCUAAUGUAAAUUAAGGAACAGCUCAUAGUAGGGUAAAAUAUUUAAGAUGCAUUGCACUUAUUUUGUGUUAAUAUUAAAAUCAUUCAGCUUUAAAUUGUUUGUUUGUUCGCCACCGUAUAAUUAUCUUUAGCUAGCCAGUAGCUAACACUAGCUUAUUAAUGCCUUAAAGGGAAACUUUGGCAUGUUGUUGUCACAUAAGGGCCCUGAUCAUGUUGCACAGACAUUUUAAUGCAUUUUGUGUCUGUUAAGAGGAGCAGAAGGCACUCUUUAGGAUAUGCCCCCCAAGAAGUGUAUUAUAACUAACUGGGAGCUCUGGCCAUUAGCUGCAGGAACUCCAGUUUGCUAGCACCAGUUUUGGUCGUUGUUUUUCCUAUCGACAGUACUCGGUGACCUCUAGUGAUCAAGAGUAGGGUAAAAAUCUGCUCCCCUUCAAUACUCCUCUGUGCUCUCUAGCUAGCUGUGUGUGUGUGUGUGUGUGUGUGUGUGUGUGUGUGUGUGUGUGUGUGUGUGUGUGUGUGUGUGUGUGUGUGUGUGUGUGUGUGUGUGUGUGUGUGUGUGUGUGUGAGAGCAGGCUUUGGUUGUCAUGGCAAUCAGGGGAGCCCACAGCAGCUGCGCUCUCUCUCUGUCUCUAACUCCUCAGAGAGACAGAAACAUUUAAAAUGAAUCCCCUCGAACCCAUGGCCAGGAACGACCGAAAUGAAAACCGAAAAGACCGUGAGCGUCGUCAUCUUGUUGACUAUAGGACUGCCGAGUUUCAGUGGCCAAAGUUAAAAAAUGUGACCUGGGGAGAUUGAGAGAGAAGAGGUUCAACAAGCUCCUUUCAAGAUUUCUUCUCUAAAAUUAACAUGGGAGUAGAUGGGGCCGUGAGAGGGUGUUGUUGGUGCAUCAGUGCGUCUCCCGCCAAAACUAUUUGUCUGACAGCUUCAGCCGUGGUAUUUUUAUUAUAUACAUUAUUUAUUGUAUUGGUAUUUUAUUCCCAACAGAUUUACCAACGUUUCUAUCUAUAAAUUAUUUCUGUAGAGAAAUACAUUUGUGGCCUUGAGAGGAGUUUACAAAUUUUUCUCUCUCCCUACACUCCAGCCUUUAGGAAGUCAGGUUGUUGUACCAUAAACAGUCAAAGUGAAUGUUUAGGAAGGAGGUUGUGAAGAAUGAAUGAGUUCAAAGUCAGUAUCAUAUCUGUCCUUAUGAUCCUUACUGCCUGAAGUCAAACAGCAGAAGUUCAGUAACAAUGUGUGAAUAUUACUGAGCCCUUUUUGGAUGAGUUAAAUAUGCUACAGUAAUCUUAUAUGUUACUGUUUAUA
Long non-coding RNA from Dicentrarchus labrax (European seabass), 2895 nucleotides. RefSeq lists it as uncharacterized. The transcript is spliced from 3 exons. Lineage: Eukaryota; Metazoa; Chordata; Actinopteri; Moronidae. The record is from RefSeq and is a predicted model, not a curated record.